Molecule: ribosomal RNA, 378 nt
Filed under: uncultured organism
Description: partial 16S ribosomal RNA
Rfam family: Bacterial small subunit ribosomal RNA
Source: RNAcentral
GGGGGGGGAGCAAGCGUUGUUCGGAAUCACUGGGCGUAAAGGGCGCGUAGGCGGGCCGAGUAAGUCGCGUGUGAAAGGGCCGGGGGCUCAACCCCGUGUACUGCAUGCGAUACUGCACGGCUUGAGAAAGGUAGAGGUGAGCGGAAUUCCCGGUGUAGCGGUGGAAUGCGUAGAUAUCGGGAAGAACACCAGUGGCGAAGGCGGCUCGCUGGGCCUUUUCUGACGCUGAAGCGCGAAAGCGUGGGGAGCAAACAGGAUUAGAUACCCUGGUAGUCCACGCCGUAAACGCUGGGUACUAGGUGUUGGGAGGAUUGACCCUUUCAGUGCCGACGCUAACGCAUUACGUACCCCGCCUGGGGAGUACGGCCGCAAAGGCUG